RNAcentral lists this ribosomal RNA (265 nucleotides) under uncultured prokaryote. RNAcentral describes it as "partial 16S ribosomal RNA". It matches the Rfam family "Bacterial small subunit ribosomal RNA", at positions 524 to 788 of the family's 1533-position model. The record is from RNAcentral.
UACGUAGGUGGCAAGCGUUAUCCGGAAUUAUUGGGCGUAAAGAGCGCGCAGGUGGUUGAUUAAGUCUGAUGUGAAAGCCCACGGCUUAACCGUGGAGGGUCAUUGGAAACUGGUCGACUUGAGUGCAGAAGAGGGAAGUGGAAUUCCAUGUGUAGCGGUGAAAUGCGUAGAGAUAUGGAGGAACACCAGUGGCGAAGGCGGCUUCCUGGUCUGUAACUGACGCUGAGGCGCGAAAGCGUGGGGAGCAAACAGGAUUAGAUACCCU